RNAcentral lists this ribosomal RNA (393 nucleotides) under uncultured bacterium. Its description in RNAcentral is "partial 16S ribosomal RNA". It matches the Rfam family "Bacterial small subunit ribosomal RNA", at positions 523 to 918 of the family's 1533-position model. The record is from RNAcentral.
AUACGGAGGAUGCAAGCGUUAUCCGGAUUUAUUGGGUUUAAAGGGUGCGUAGGCGGGAUUUUAAGCGUGAGGUGAAAUGCCACGGCUCAACCGUGGAACUGCCUCGCGAACUGGGAUUCUUGAAUGCCCCUGCCGUGGGAGGAAUGUGUGGUGUAGCGGUGAAAUGCAUAGAGAUCACACAGAACACCGAUUGCGAAGGCAUCUCACGAAGGGGUGAUUGACGCUGAGGCACGAAAGCGUGGGGAUCAAACAGGAUUAGAUACCCUGGUAGUCCACGCAGUAAACGAUGAUAACUAACCGCUGGGGAGCGAUUUUCAGUGGCCAAGCGAAAGCGAUAAGUUAUCCACCUGGGGAGUACGACCGCAAGGUUGAAACUCAAAUGAAUUGACGGGG